This 429-nucleotide ribosomal RNA is filed under the name Verrucomicrobiota bacterium. Its description in RNAcentral is "Verrucomicrobia bacterium partial 16S ribosomal RNA". It matches the Rfam family "Bacterial small subunit ribosomal RNA", at positions 355 to 776 of the family's 1533-position model. The record is from RNAcentral. Lineage: Bacteria; Pseudomonadati; Verrucomicrobiota.
UAGGGAAUCUUCCGCAAUGGACGAAAGUCUGACGGAGCAACGCCGCGUGAGUGAAGAAGGAUUUCGGUUCGUAAAACUCUGUUGUUAGGGAAGAAAAAAUGUAUAGUAACUAUAUACAAAAGAGACGGUACCUAACCAGAAAGCCACGGCUAACUACGUGCCAGCAGCCGCGGUAAUACGUAGGUGGCAAGCGUUGUCCGGAAUUAUUGGGCGUAAAGCGCGCGCAGGUGGUUUAGAAAGUCUGAUGUGAAAGCCCACGGCUCAACCGUGGAGGGUCAUUGGAAACUAAUAAACUUGAGUGCAGGAGAGAAAAGUGGAAUUCCCAGUGUAGCGGUGAAAUGCGUAGAUAUUGGGAGGAACACCAGUAGCGAAGGCGGCUUUCUGGACUGCAACUGACACUGAGGCACGAAAGCGUGGGUAGCAAACAGG